ACCCGCUGAACUUAAGCAUAUCAUA
Molecule: ribosomal RNA, 25 nt
Filed under: Pochonia chlamydosporia var. ellipsospora
Lineage: Eukaryota; Fungi; Ascomycota; Sordariomycetes; Hypocreales; Clavicipitaceae
Description: partial 28S ribosomal RNA
Source: RNAcentral